GGCCGAUUCCUUAUGAUGAACUCAAAAAGCUCGGGAUCCCACCACCACCUGAGGGACGGUAUAUGACACGUUUUGAGGUAUUUUUUUUACUUUGCCACUCUUACCUUGUACUCCCUCCGUUCCGAAUUACUCGUCGCAGAAAUGGAUGUAUCUAGAUGUAUUUUAGUUCUAGAUACAUCCAUUUCUGCGACGAGUAAUUUGGAACGGAGGGAGUACUUCUGAAGGGGGAUGUUGUUUAAUUUUACGAGGUAUUACCACUAAAAUGUUCUAAGAUUAACCCUGUUAGAAAUGUGAACAUGUCAAUUUAAUCUUUAAAUGGUAAAAGAUGCAAAGAGCAAAUUCAUGAUAUUUCCAGAGAAAACAUUUAUGCAUAAAAAUUACAAAGAGAGAGUAAAACUGUUAUUAUCUUGAAAUAUUAAGAAGAAAGGGGUAAUACUUCUUGUAUGUACUUUUAGCCCACAUAUUCACCCAUUGUUGUCAUUAUUGAACCUACAUGAGGACAUAAGGAGAACUGGAAAGUUAACCAUUGCAUUUGUUUGUUCUCACAAAGCAGACUGGAUUUUUAUUCACUCUGCUGUGCUAUGAUAUGCCUUACAUUUACAUUCAUGUGUGCUGUAAUUGGGGUAUGGUUUAGUUAUUCCAUGCCUGCUUACUGCCAUGGAGUGGAGUGGAAUAACGCUGUCAACUCCCACCAUCACAGGUUCCCCCACCACCUAGACGAAAAGGAGGCAAUGUUGACAGGGAAGAGUCGCCACCUCCUAGGAGAAUAUCCAAGGACAGGGCUGAUAGCACCUACAGAAGGCAGAGAAGUCCAACUGAAGACGAAAGCAGCCCACGCAGGCGCAAAAGCAGCCAUGACCACAGGGAAGAAUCGCAAAGGAGGAUGAGGUCAUCUAGGGAGGCAAGCACCUACAGCAGGCAGAGAAGCCCAACUGGAGACGGCGGUGACCAUCACAAGCAAAAAGGCCACCGAGAGCAGGGCGAUAUCAGCAGCUAUGAUAGGCAUGUAAGCCCAGCCGAAGACGACGGCGGUCAUCACCGCAAGCGAAGAAGAAGCCGAGAGCCUGGAGAUAUCAGGAGGAGCCACAGUAGGCGGAGAAGCCCAACUGAAGACGAUGCCGGUCGCCGCAAGCGAAGAAAAAGCCGAGAGCUUGGAGAUACCAGCAGCCACAGCAGGCAUAGAAGCCGAGCCGAAUACGACGGCCGCGGUCAUCACAAGCGGAGGAAGAGCCGAGAGCCAGGAGAGGUGUCGCCUGGCACGGAGGAUGGCAGUGCCAGAAGAGGUGGAACCUCUGCUGAAGCAGACCACAGCCCUCGUCAUCGAUCUCAUCGGGAGCAGAGGCAUCAUGGCGGCAGCAGCCGUUCCCGCCACGGCGACCGUGCUCGCUCCAGGAGAUCCGAGAGCCGAGAUUAUAGUCAGUAGAUGUCUGUCAUUUCCGCGGUGUGAGAAACAAAUGGAUCCCUCGCCUAUGUGCUGCUCGCUUGAUUUGAUGAGGUUCGUCGCCGCCAUGUGUAGGCUCUGUUCCGUUGCCGGGUGUUUGUCUUGCCAGGCGACACCGCCCGCCGUAUGUGUUGGAUCCACGGUUCCUGAGCAGCUGGGAUAGUUCUAAUUCUAGCUCUGGUAAUUCAGAUUGGAUCCCUGGCUGUAAGUAUAGCUUGCAAUUUUAUGAAACGAUCUUGGUAUAGACGUUGCUUGAAUAAUUUUGAUUUGAUGACCCUGACUACAGUGUGGUACUAGCAUUUGUUCCGAUUAA
Molecule: long non-coding RNA, 1754 nt
Filed under: Triticum aestivum (bread wheat)
Lineage: Eukaryota; Viridiplantae; Streptophyta; Magnoliopsida; Poales; Poaceae
Description: long non-coding RNA (TAES_LNC005910)
Rfam family: MIR1120/MIR1122 microRNA precursor family (bases 105-219)
Source: RNAcentral